Molecule: unclassified non-coding RNA, 334 nt
Filed under: soil metagenome
Description: partial contains 5.8S ribosomal RNA, internal transcribed spacer 2, and large subunit ribosomal RNA
Rfam family: 5.8S ribosomal RNA (bases 1-120)
Source: RNAcentral
GAUGAAGAACGUAGCGAAAUGCGAUAAGUAGUGUGAAUUGCAGAAUUCAGUGAAUCAUCGAAUCUUUGAACGCACAUUGAGCCCCUUGGUAUUCCAUGGGGCAUGCCUGUUCGAGCGUCAUUUGUACCUUCAAGCUUUGCUUGGUGUUGGGUGUUUGUCCAUUCUCUUGCAGAGGGACUCGCCUUAAAGUAAUUGGCAGCCAGUGUUUUGGUUUUGAAGCGCAGCACAAGUCGCGAUUCAAAGCUAUACGCCCGCUUCCACAAGCCUUUUUCACUUUUGACCUCGGAUCAGGUAGGGAUACCCGCUGAACUUAAGCAUAUCAAUAAGCGGAGGA